GAUGAACGCUGGCGAGAUGCCUUACACAUGCAAGUCAUACGAGAAUUUUUAAUUCAAGUGGCGGACGGGUGAGUAACACGUAAGAAUUUGCCUUUAGGAGGGGGACAACAACUGGAAACGGUUGCUAAUGCCCCAUAGUAUAGUUUUUUCGCAUGAAGAGAUUAUUAAAGUUCCAACGGUAAAAGAUGAGCAUGCGUCCCAUUAGCUAGAUGGUAAGGUAACGGCUUACCAUGGCGACGAUGGGUAGGGGUCCUGAGAGGGAGAUCCCCCACACUGGUACUGAGACACGGACCAGACUCCUACGGGAGGCAGCAGUGAGGAAUAUUGGUCAAUGGACGCAAGUCUGAACCAGCCAUGCCGCGUGCAGGAUGACGGUCCUAUGGAUUGUAAACUGCUUUUGUACGAGAAGAAACAUCCCGACGUGUCGGGACUUGACGGUAUCGUAAGAAUAAGGAUCGGCUAACUCCGUG
Molecule: ribosomal RNA, 470 nt
Filed under: uncultured bacterium
Lineage: Bacteria
Description: bacterial SSU rRNA
Rfam family: Bacterial small subunit ribosomal RNA
Source: RNAcentral